This 249-nucleotide ribosomal RNA is filed under the name uncultured bacterium. RNAcentral describes it as "partial 16S ribosomal RNA". It matches the Rfam family "Bacterial small subunit ribosomal RNA", at positions 1251 to 1500 of the family's 1533-position model. The record is from RNAcentral.
AAAGCAGUGAUGCAGAGCAAAUCCCCAAAAGCAGUCUUAGUUCGGAUUGUAGGCUGCAACUCGCCUACAUGAAGUCGGAAUUGCUAGUAAUCGCGGAUCAGCAUGCCGCGGUGAAUACGUUCCCGGGCCUUGUACACACCGCCCGUCACACCAUGGGAGUCGGUAACACCCGAAGCCUGUAGUCUAACCGCAAGGAGGACGCAGUCGAAGGUGGGAUUGAUGACUGGGGUGAAGUCGUAACAAGGUAGC